RNAcentral lists this unclassified non-coding RNA (341 nucleotides) under uncultured fungus. Its description in RNAcentral is "sequence contains 5.8S rRNA gene". Lineage: Eukaryota; Fungi. The record is from RNAcentral.
GAACGCACCUUGCACUUUUUGGUAUUCCGAAAAGUAUGCCUGUUGGAGUGUCUUGACAAUCUCAAAUCCAUUUGGUUUUAUUAUCAAAUGUGACUUUUGGUGUUGAGCUUGCCGGUGUUUUGAUGCAUCGGCUUGCUUUAAAGUGAUUAGCUGGCAGUAUCUAUGGUGACUCAUCCAGUACCUGAGCGUAAUAAUUAUUUCGUUCACGGUCAGAGUCGUUCAACCUGGAUUACAAGUCGCUUCCAAUCCUUUCAAUCUAUUUUUGAUUUAAUCAAAACUAUUGAAAACCCCACUUUGUAAAUCAGACCUCCAAUCAGGUAGGACUACCCGCUGAACUUAAG